Molecule: long non-coding RNA, 3396 nt
Filed under: Gossypium barbadense (sea-island cotton)
Lineage: Eukaryota; Viridiplantae; Streptophyta; Magnoliopsida; Malvales; Malvaceae
Description: long non-coding RNA (GBAR_LNC019356)
Source: RNAcentral
GAUUAUCUCUAGUUUUCAUAAGUUUAUUAACAAGUGUGGGCAACAGCCCCAUGCUUAAGCAUUCUCCUUUUCCUUCUGCAACUCAAAUUCAAAUCUCGUUUGUGCUUAAGUGAAAUGAUUGUUUAUUAUUAUUAUUUCUUCCCUGCUGUGCCACCACUCAAACUCUAGGCAACCUGAUUGAGAUAAAAACGGAAUCAGAUUAGGUAGGAUUUAAUUAGUUUAUUUUUUAAAAUUUUGAGGACUUAUCUCCUAAAAAUCCUCCUAGUGUCGCCCCCCUCUCCCCCAUUUCCCCACUUUUCUUUGUUUUCCACUUUUGUUGCUGUUACCUCCUCUUUUGUUGAAUUCUCUCUAUUUUUCCCUCCUUUCUUUAUCUUCUUUCUUUUUACUCAUUUGUUUCCAUAAUUUCACGUUAACACCCUCUUGAUUUCAUCUUUUGCAAUCCCUACCUACUGUGUUGCCGCCGUCCAGACUUUGAUCCUUCCUAGUGCCGUAGCUAACCCUCUGGUCUCGUUACUGGUUGUGUGUGAUUUGGAGUUUCAGUAUAAUAUCAUAAUUUUGCGAAGUGUAAUCCAUUUGUUUUAAAAAAAGCUUGUUUCCGGUUUUAUUUGAGGGGUUUGUUGGUUGUUGUUGGCUGAAUAGUGAUGGUCUAAUCGUUUUUGGUUCUAUUUAGGUGAGGAUCGUGAGGCGCAUACCCCUCCUGCGAAUUAAGUGCCUUGGAAACCUCUACUCCCUAGGGUAAGUAGUUGAAAGCCUAGUCAAGGGGCUGGCAGGUGUUAAUUUUUGCUUAGGCCGAAUGCUCUAAGGGAGCAAGGGCUGAAUGCCUUAGGCUGAUUUUCUAUUAUGGAUGCCAAUUGGUUAAGGUUUGAUGUCAUGGGCAGAGCGCGGAUUGUUGUUGUAGUGCCGACACCUCAAAAACAAUUAGGUGUAUGUUUUAACCCUACUUGAUUUGUGAGAGUAGAGGUUAAUCAAAUGUUGCGGUGUUUUAAUUAAACUCGUUCGGUUGUGACUGAGUUUUUUUUUUCUGGUGGUGGCUGAAAGUAAGUAUUCCCUUGUUAAAUUUGGUGUUAGUCGAUUGGCUAUGGGUGUGUUUCGGUUAUGGCUGAAUCCGAGUAAGUAAGUUGGGUGUCGUGAUUGAUGGUGAGUAUGCUUGAUUUGAGUUAGCUGAUUGCAUGUAUGUUUCAACGUGUUGUUGAAAGUGAUACUUGCUUGUUUUAUUUGCGAGGGCCGAACUUGCCAAUAACUUGUUUCUGAUUUGUUAAACUAUAUGUACUAUUAGCAUGUUACCGAUCUGUUUAAUAUGCAUAUGGACAUGUAUGAUUUGAGUAUGCUUAGUAUGUCAGGAUAUUUGCAUGUGCAUUGGGAUUUGGGAUAUGUUUCACUUGGAGGAAGUUUUGGCAGACUAUGAUCUACGAUUCUGGCUGUUUUCCCGCAACUCUGAUUUGGCAGGUAACCUGUGAUAUCUGUUUCUGGUAGUAUUUUCGCGAUAUAUAUCUGGCAGCUUAUCUGCAUAUUUUGAUGGCUUACGACUACAAAUUUUGGUGUUCUAGUUGGAUGGGUUCAUAGCAACCCUGUUUGGUGUGUUGGAUAGACGAAGUUAGUGUGUAGCGGUUGAGGAUAGGAUUACUCUGAAUAGUAUUAUGCAUUAUUAAGUAUGUCAUGUCGUUUGUUUUAACCUUAUUCUUAAUGCGUUUUUGAGUGAUUCUCUAAUAUUAAUUGUGAAUUUUAUACUCUUAAUAUUUUAAAUUCAUAUUUUAAUGCUUAAAACUCAGGGAGCAAGCUGCAGGAACUACACGGGCUAAAUCAUUCCACACGAGCAUGUGACCUACACAGGCGCAUGGUAGGUAGUAUCGAUUUCACGGAAUUGCGCACCAAAUUGCAAAAAAUCGCAAUUUGUAGAUUCUUUGAGAAUUUUAUGACUUAUAUAUGACAAAAUAAUAAGAUAAUAGUAACCGUCAUAGAAUAUUUAAGAAAACAACUUGAAAAACACUAUUGAAGCCGACUUUAAAACAACGUCAACAUUGAAGAUUCUCAUUUGAUUUCUUAGGAAAUUAUCAUGAGUUUUUUUAUUUUUUCAGUUAUACUUUAUCUUUGAUUUUUUUUUUUCAAACAUGAACUAAUUUUCUAAAUAUCUAGAAAAUAACCUUAUAAUGGAUUCUGUCGUUUAAUUUUUAUUUUACGCAAACGAAGAUUGGGGAUAAAACCCUAACAUGGGGGUAAUAUCUUCAAUUGUUGAGGUCCAAGUCAAUUGCCUAUAAAACAACACUUUGAAGACAAGACUUCUCCUAAAGGAGUUGAUUCUCCUCAAUAAUUGUAAUGCCACUCUUCAGUUAAAAUUUUUUUUUCUUUUUAUUUAUUUUGUGAGUUUCUAAAAUUUUUAUAGUUUAAAUUUGUAGAUGUUUAUGUUUCUCAUUUUUUUCUUCUCUAGGGUAGGAAAUGUUUUAGAGUUUUGGAGUUGUUUUUUUGUCAUUCUUAAAAAAUAUAUCUAGUUUUAGAUGUUUGAAUAUCUUACCUUAACCUAUAUUUUUAAAUUUAAAAUAAUAUUACUUUUAUUAUAAAUUAAAUGAUUCAUAUUUAUAUUAAAUUACUUUUUUAAAAAAAAUCAAAUUAAAUCAACUUUUUUAAAAAAAUUACAUUUUAGUGUCCAUUUUUUUUGGAGGUUAGAAUCUCCUUAUUGGUGUGUACAUAUAUAAUGCUUUUUCAAAUGUUUUUAAGAAUUUGUAAUAAGAUAAGGGUAGUUUGGAACUUAAGAAAAAAUCUAAGCAUUUUAGACAUUUCACAAAUAGUAACUUCCUACUACAAAACAUUGAAUUGUUCUUACAUUAAAUUCUGCAGUUUCAAAAAUAAAUAAUUUUUAUUACUGUUUUCAUCAACUAAUUUCAUAUCAAAGAUGAAACAGGAAUACGAAAGUUGAAUGCUUAUUUUACUUGCAUCAUCACAUUAUUUUCAUUUCUUAAUUUCUAUAUUGAUUUCAUCGAUUACUUUAUCAGUUUCGUUUCUUAAAUCAAUUUGAAACUAUUAAUAAAGUGAGGCUACUGUUAAUGGUAUUGUCUGAUCACAGACUGGUGAAUUUAUUAAUAAUAAAAUGAAACUCGACUCCAUAGAGAUAAAGGUAUAUUACUAUAUUUGAGUUUAUGUUUUCAUUCUUAUUACUGAUGAGAAGCUGCUCAAUAGAGAUAUGUUAUUAUAUUGUGUUUGAUUCGAUGUCGAUUAUGUCUGUUAGGUCACUUCAGAGCAUAUUCAGAUAUUAUGCUUAAUUCGAUGUCAAUUUAUCAAGGUGGAAAUCCGUUUAAAAUGGUCAACUUGGAGUUUAUUAAUGAAAUUGGUAUUUUCUUUUAUCAUAUGAAUGAUAGAUAAUUAGCACAUUGUGUAUCUCAUACUUGCCCCUCCAACUCUACA